RNAcentral lists this unclassified non-coding RNA (149 nucleotides) under soil metagenome. RNAcentral describes it as "partial internal transcribed spacer 1". The record is from RNAcentral.
CCGAGUUUACAACUCCCAAACCCCUGUGAACAUACCUACUUGUUGCCUCGGCGGAUCAGCCCGCGCCCCGUAAAACGGGACGGCCCGCCAGAGGACCCCUAAACUCUGUUUCUUAGUGGAACUUCUGAGUAAAACCAUAAAAUAAAUCA